GAAAUAAUCGCCUGUUUGGUGCGCAUUAUGUUGUAUAGAACUGAAAUAUACUGUGUUUCUUUACGUUGGAGAACAGAAAGAUAAUCUUGAUAUACGCGGUAAGUUUCAUUCAACUCUACCGUAGUCGAUAUAGUAGGCAAUUUGUUAGUGUGUGAGGCAUAAAUAUGUGUAAGGCACAAUAUUUAUGUAGCUACAGUAUCAGACUGGCAGACUGCCCAACUUCAGAAAAUUUACUUUAGAAAGCCCACUUUACUCGUUUGAAAGAAAAUAGAUAAGCCAUCAAUAUCACAAAGGAGGAAAUAAAUGAAUCUAAUAAUAAGUUUACAAAUUAUUGCAUCAUUUCAUCGCAUGAUCAAUAUUAGAACAUGAAUUAAAAGAGGUAAAAUAUUAAAUCCACUCGAAUGCGCAUGCACAUUCUACAAUUUAAAAUCUUUGUAAUUUUGUGAUGAAUAAUAUUUUUGCCCUAAAUAUGUGAAAUUGUUAUAAUCUUGAAAGGUCUGUCAGUCUGUGUCAAUUAUGUAGAAAGUAGUGUCAAUAAUAAGAAAAAUUCGGAUUGAUAAAUCUUAUGUUAUUCCAUGAAACUUGCUUAGUAAGCAGUUUUUAACCCAUUGAGUUGUAUUGCACCCUGAUGCACCCUACUUUAGUAUUUUACUCUGUCUAAGGCCAGACGAUUUUACUCGUCAAGGGGAGAGCGCUGGCGCUUAAUGGGUUAACUGGCCUAUCUGCCCAUGUGCCUAGUUAACCCAUUGAUUUGCAUUGUACCCUGAUGCACCCUACUUUAGUAUUUUACCCUGUCUAAUGCCGGAUGAUUUUACUCGUCAAGGGGAGAGCGCUGGUGCUUAAUGGGUUAAAGUAAAGUCAAAUUCUUGGCCUUUGCUCCAUUAACGUUCUGUGGGGCCUGUGGCAUAAUAUCAGCGCGAGGCCCCUUGACCCCCUCCCCAACUGCCCAAUGGCAUUUUAGACACCGAAUUCAGUAUGAUUAAAAAGUAUUCUUUUGUAUUUCAUGUGUUGAAGAGUUUCCUGUACAUUAAAAAAAAGAAACUGAAAUUCAACACAGUUUAUAUAAUUAAAUUAAUAUUAUUAUUAUUUACAUGAUAGUGUCCAUAUAAACUUCUGCAGUCUUCCACAAAAUUCAGCAAUCUUCCACAAAAUUCAGCAAUCUUAUAGUAUUUAGAAGAACAAGAACUGCAAAUUUUGAAAUUUUCUCACAAUGUUUUUUUGGCCUCGCUUUGGUUCAAAGAAGGAACAAAAGACUUUUUGCGGCCCUGCUCUUUUAUUUUGGGGCUCCGUUAUUGGGGGCCUUGGACUCUUUGGGGCCCCGCAUUGUUUGGAUCCCACGCUGAAACAGGGAAAAAAACGUUUGGGGCCCUCGAUUUUAAAUUUUUGGGCCUGACGUUUUGGGGACCCUUUGGGGCCACACACUCAAACAGGGAACAAAAAAUAUGUUUGGGUCCCCGCAUAGUUAAUAUAAUGAGAGGGUUUGGAAGGCCGGCAAACUUCAAAGGAUCACGCCCCCUUUCGUGAGCUGAACUCGAUAGAGGGCACCACGUGACAGUUAAGGUGCAUCAUGGCGUGAUUCUAUAAUACAAUUCCCUAUUGACAACUUAGAAAGCUUUAAUUUUUGCUUGUUAUACCGCUUUAAUAUACGAGGUUUGGGUAAAAUACAAGGUUUUAUCGUAAAUCUCCAUCGUAAAUGGCAGCUUUUGAGACGUUUUUAUGUGUGAUAAGCCAAAUUGCGGACGCUGUGUAUAGUAUCGACGGGGUGCCGGGAACUUGCGAACUAUCGUAUUUCAAGUGAAGCGAAGUCACACUGCUAAAGCCGCUGGAAAAGGUCGUUAAAAACGCACGUUUUAGGUUUGGAAACAUAGAAAUAGAUGAGGAAAUUGAUACUGAGCGUUUAGAAAGCUCUUGUUCACCUUUUGAGGACGAUUACGAGUAAACAACUGCGCUUGUCGAAAUGGACGUCCACGGAUGAAGUAUUUAAAAACACACAUCAAAUAAAGACAAGGUCACUGUCUAUCAGUAGACACUGUCUAUCAAGGACACAGUCUACCAGUAUCAGUAUCCUAGCUAGUAGCUUCCCCUCUUGUGGCAAACUUGUGGUGCAACAUUACUCAAAACUAUGAUGUAGAAACAUCACUGGAAUGUCAAUCUUUUGUUUACAAAGAAUGUUCAGUCAAAUUAUUUGUAACUGUAAGAUGUUUUCCUUUGCUAAGGAUCUGAUUGUAGAUACUGUAAAUAUAAGAUAAGUCCGGGUACACAGAAAAAGAAAGCUUUAUGAAAAGACUUGAAGAUUGAAAUAGUCCGGUACAUAAUACAGUUACGUUAUAUCAAUGAUCGUAAAUGUGAAUAUGAUACUGUAUCAAUGAAUUAUCCUCAUAAUUUUAUGUGUAAUCUUUUCAUCAACACAUACAGUAGUAAUAACAACAAUAUAUUAUAUAAAAUAUACACACAGCUUAAACUUACUUUCUCUCAUUUAUGUAAUAUUCAGCCAAUUUUGGUCAUGCAGUUUAAAUAAGCUAAUACUGUAGUUUAAAUCUCAAUGUGCUCUUAUUCCUUUACUCUGUUAGUGUCUAUCAUCAGACAAUUUUACACAUCAAGGGCAGUGCAGAUUAAGCAUUGCAGCUUAAAGAGUUAAAAUCAUAUGGCAUCAGACAAAUGUUAAAAGGAUAAAGUAGAAGCAUUGUGGCUUAAUUAAACAUACAUUGUGUAGUGUAUGGUUUGAGCAUUUAAUACAAAUUACAAUGCAUUUCUAACAUGACUGUGGAAUUAAUAACACUAUUGCAGCAAUUUUUGCUCCACCUACUUUUGAUAGAUAAAAAUGAACUUCUAAGUUAUGAAUGUUCAGAAAAUAAAUAGAUACAUACUGUACACAGUAAGAACACUCAUGUCUUUCUUAAGUUAACUAAUUGGCACAUUCCAUAAAAUCAGCCAAUCUCGUACCACACAACGAUGGGCUCUGGGGACAGCAUAAACAAAGUGUAAAAAGCCUGCGACUUACACUGUAAAUUCUUAUUAUUAAACUAUAUUUUAUAGUCUAUAUAAGUACAUUUCAUAUUCCUCUUUCUUGAAGUGCCUCUCGCAAACAUACAACGUCCCAUUUUUAGUGUGAAGUUUCUUCGAAACUUCACGGUAUUGUGAUGGUGGGGGAAAUUCAAACGAAACAGUCAGUCAGUCAGUCAGUCAUUCAUUCAGUCAUACAGUAAACUUUCCGGGGGGCGUGUACGAUUUAUGUUCGUAGUGAUUUAUUGUGCUUAGUCAGUACUUUGAAGGUUAUUUAGGCAAUUUCAGUUAAUUUAUUUACAUAUUCUGUUAUCCUUUUACCAAGUUCACAAAAAUUUCGAGCAAUCGCUUUCGUUAUUGUAAUUCUUUGUAAAUUUUAGAACAUUCGCUUCUCAUGUUGUUUGUGUAAAGGAUCUUUACCCCGGAACACCCGAUUUUCUUUAGUAACUCAAAUGCACAUGCGCUAUCAAGCGAUAGAUCACGAUGGCGUGACGAUAUGCUAGGAAGGAGUGACAGUGUUGUUUUCAGAUGUAUAAACAUUUCAGACGUGAAUAUUGAGUAAAUCUUUGAAAAUCUACGCAAUAUAUAAAUUGAUCUUAUGCAUUACGGCCGUUCAGUUAAUAAGUGUCGAUAAUAUUUAGGCGGUAUAUUCAUUAUACAGAGCUAGGAAGGAGCUAGACCGCCUAGACAGUGCAGUCAACACUCAAGUGUAUAAACAUUUCAGACGUAAAUAUUGAGCCGAAAUCUUUGAGAUUCUAGGCAUUCAAUUGAGUGCUGAUAUUAUUUUCACGGUAUACUCAUUAUACAGGGGUACAGUAUGUACGAAGAAGCGAGACAGUCUUGUUUUUCAAAUAUAUAAACAUUUCAGACAUGAAUAUUGAGAAACUCUUUGAGAUUCUACGCAAUAAUAUGAUAUAUAAAUUGAUGAGUAUGGUUACCGGCGUUCAAUUAUAAAGUGCCCAUCGGUAGACGAUAUUAUUUAGACCGUGUAUUCAUUAUACAUUGUUAUUUGACUGUAUAAGGUGCCACAUCACAGAAUAGUACACUCAGGCAAAUAGCGAAAAAUUGCAUCAGAUCAAUAACAGGGGCGGAUUCAGCGUUUUGGGUGACCGGUUUACUAGGUCCACACAACCAGGAAAUUUUUUAAAAAUUUGGGCCUCUGAAACAGCAUUUCCUGCGUUCUGGCGUCAAUUUUUAAAUGUAUUUAAUGAUUAGAAAAUAUAUCUUUUAAGAGAAUUUUGGACUAACACGCAGCUCAAACGAUGAAUUGAACCUUUUCGGAAACCUAUUAGCUAGUGCUGAAAAUAUAGGAUUGGCAACUGAAUUGCUGACGCAUCUACAGUUAUUAUAAGUACAAGUAGAGAUGCUUUUAAUAUAAAAAUAGUUGUAAUUUUAGAUCUAUACGCUUUCAAACCAACUUUAACAAUGAACUAGAAACCAAACUGCAAGAGCGUGAAUAUUAAAAGCUUCACAAAUAAUCACAAUCAUUUCCUGAUUCUCUCUCGCCAACGCAAUGAUUCUGUCACGCAAGAUUAUACGUACAUUAUCAUAUUUCGCGCUAUCAUGUGUAUAGACUGUAGUUACACGUAUAAACACCGAUACGCUUGUUGAUGAAUCGAUAGUUAGUAUACAGUAAGUAGAAAUAGCUUACCGUUAUAAUUUUAGACUAUAUACUUCUAAAAAAACCUUCAAAAUGAACAAGAAAUCCAUGUAAAUGCUUCUAUCGCCAACGCAAAGAUUCAGUCACGCAAAAUUAUAAACAUAUUUCGCGCGUCCUCGAGUUCUGUUAACUUUCAUGCCCAGUUUUCUCUAAAUACUGCUCGACUCACAGGUUUAUGACCGGUUUACAUCCGCCGGAGCACAGCCGUUUAGCCAAUCGAAUGGCGUAUCGACCGGUUUACUCUCAUGGAGAAAACUCUGACCACCGGUUUACUCAUAAUUGCGGGCGGUUAUGUGUGAUUCAUGCGAUGUUUACAAGUCCACGACCCACGACGAUAUAUUAGCAGAUUAUUAGUCUAGUAUUACAACAUUUCGUAAGAGGAAACCAGGGCGAUAAGUCCUUAAUUAUACGUUCGGUAAUCCAUAAUCAAAUUUCAACAACAGUGUUUAUUAAGUGGCGUAAUAGAUUAGACAACAUCAAUUUUAUGAAACAGAAUAUUCUUUAAAUUAGUUAUAUACACGAAAGGUUUUUUCUCUCUUUGGAAAAUCUACAGGUUUAUAUAAACCUGUCAAACCUGUCUGAAUCCGCCCCUGAAUAAAGCAUCAACAACUAUUAAACAGAAGCGGGCGUUCGUACAGGUGUUUAUGAAGAAAAUAUUGCGAGACGAAGGAAAUCAGUUGAAUCAGAGCUCCUUAUUUUAAUAAGAAAGACGAGGAGAUAGCCAAUAUGUUAUCGCCAACGUGUUAUCGCCAAUCGCUUGGCUCACUAACAAGCUUUAUGCAAUGGAAGAAAAAAGCAAGGAGGUACAUGUAGCCAACGUGUACACUGUCGCGGACCUUGUUUACUGUCUAGCACAACGCCGUUGUCAACGGUGCAAAUUCGUGUUCAGUGCAACGUUAACUCUAACAGAUCUUACGAGAAUUAAUCUGUAGUAUUCUGUACACAGAACUGUAUCAAAGCUUGUCAAAACUGCUUUAAACACUGCUAUAACUGUGAAACUAUUGAAAUCUAAAGUGACAUUAUUCAAAACAUGCGAAAAGCUGAAAAUAGACACAACGUGGCCACUGGGAAAAGUCAAAGGUCAAUGCGGACUUGUUAUUGUAAAAUCUGUCACAAUUAGGUUAAAAUGCGGAAGCGGAUGGAGCGGACCACAGAACGGAAAUGCGAAAAAAAUACGGAACGGAUGAAGAUAAAAUGCUUCCUUUCAAUGAUGUAACGACGUAGUGCUUAUUAUUUAUAACAUAUCGUAUACAUCUAUUUCAAUUAUAAAUUUGCAGUAGCCUUGUGCGGAUGCUUUUAGCGACAGCUGCAAUUGAAAUUUUGAAUUGUCGCGUGUAGCAUCACAAUAGAUAGAUCAAUUGUAUCAGUUUCACAAAGCACGUUUCUGAUGUGUUAGGCUUGUUUCAAACGUCACGCUACUCGUGUGUCGAGGGCAUUAAAAGCAAUAUAUAAUGAGAUGAAAUGCCGUUGGUGAUUGUUUAUUUCGUAGUGUAAGACAUCAGCUUUUCUAGGUUGUCAGCGACCCUAUAUAGUUCUUGCAGAAUCUUUUUCAAUUUGAAACUUCACACUAUCCUUGGAUCCCUAGUUUGAUUUUCCUUCGCAAAUGCUCAUCCACUACGCGGUCCUUUGUAAUAUUGUUGAUACACGCUUCACGAGUUUUCAUUGAUAAUGCGUCUUUUCCUGAAGGAAUCCGGAGAAUUCCAACUCCAACAUUAUUUCGACAUGUACCGCAGCCAAUAUGAAGCAAUUCGCUCCCGGCAUCGCCGAAAAAUCAAUGAAAUUUAAUGUUUUUAGGCUCUGUUUGGCUUAAACUAUUAUACUAUCGUAUAUUUUAACACCUCAAAGCAUGCACUCUGAGUUCCACGUGACCGAGAACAAUAAGUUAUUUUGUCACGUGACCCGGCCUUCCAAACUCUCUCAUUAUAUUAACUAUGGUCCCCGCAACCCUGCUUUUUGGUGCCUCGCUUUUAAAAUUUAAUUUGGGGCCUCGCACUGGCACACUGUCUGGCACGGAAAAAAUAGAAGAGUGUAAGCACGGGGCCUUUCAAUUUAAGCGCGGGGCCUGCAGCAUAUGCCGCUUCUGCCAUAUGGUUAAUCCGGCACUGCUUUGCUCAAAAUGUUAAACGUUGAAGUUCUGUCUAUAUUUUUUCAGGAAGUUUCAGUACAUUCAUGGCGAAUGUAAUAUUUAUUUCAGUUUGUGGAAAACACAAUAUACCUAUAUUUAUUUUGCAAAGCUUUUAAUCCAUGUUAUGUGCCUGAAUGAUAUGUGAUACCCAUCCUCCCCCAGACUUCUUGGUUUUGCCUAUGAUUUUGGUGUAACCGUCCCACGGUUAGUACACAGUCUUAAAUUUACAUUUUUUCUCAGUAUCCAACUGGGAUACCAGGAUUCAAAGUUUAGUAUCCCACUUCUGGAUACUGGUUACCAUAAUAAUAAUAUACAUAAAGAUAUUACUCGAAAUCACAGUGCAAUUUUUAAAGAUUUUUUUUUAAAGAUAUUUCUGUAAUCACAGUGCAAUUUUUUGUAAUCACAGUGCAAUUUUCUGUAAUCACAGUGCAAAAAUCUUUAACAAACUGACCUGAUUGGUGGACAGGUAUCGAUAAAAUGCGCGAGUGUCUGAGCGCCGCUCGCAGGCACCUUUUACAUUUUUGCAGGCACAUUUUAAAAUACUGAUAUUUUAACAAUAUUUUGGUCACAAGAUCUAAAUAAGAUGUGUUUUAGUUGCAGGCACAUUUUGAAUUUCGCUCGCAGGCACGAAAAAAUGUUAUCGAGGCCUGUUGGUGGAAAAACAUUGUGAUGAUUAAAUCAACCAAUCAGUUUAAAAGAAUUUAGUUUGAAGAAGUAACGGUCACAGAUUGCUUAAAAACAAAACAAACAUGGCGUUGCGCUACACAAAGUAAAAGUUGCCUUUGCGUAGAAAAUAUGGCUUUUAUAUUUACUUUUAAAUGGAAAAGCAUUUACCUUAAACAAGACUAACAAAAAUUACACAGUUGAGUGGAAUUUUCAAGCUGUUUAAUAGCGUUGUACAAUGUGAUACCGGUACAACAAAGCCAGGAAAACUUUACCAGUGGAAUGUUCACUAUAAACGUGUUAAGUUAAAACUACAAUUGUCUAGAACAUUUUUAUGUAAAUUAUUAAUAAGUAAUAGCAUGGUUUCUCGUUAAAUUUGGAUAAACAUGCACUCGUGAGUUUUUCAAAGACCUCAAAUAGCACUCGUCCUUCGGACUCGUGUUAUUUUGAGGUCUUUGAAAAACUCACUCGGGCAUGUUAUAUCCAAAUUGCACUCAAAACCAUGCUAUUACCUAUAAGUAUUAUACCCUGUCCCAUCCAAAUAACUCACUGUUACAAAUUACAAUAACACAGGAGAUUCAAUAGUCAACAACUAUAGACAAUUCAUUUAUACACAAAAAUGCACAUAAUACGAGGAAAGACUCUGAUGGCAAACCCAUAUAAUUUGUUCAAAAGCUAUCAGGAGACUUUCAGAGGUGCUUAACAUUUUCCUAAUGUUUGAAAUGUUCUUGGUAUCCAGUUGGCAAGUCAUUCACAGUUUGGUAUCCAAAACCAAAUUUUAGUAUCCUGUGGAUAUCGGGAUACUGCAAAUUUCAGAUCCUGUCUAAGUAGCCAGUGUGCCAGGGCGUUUUUUAAGAAUUUGUCAAGGGGGAGAGGGGUUAAGUGUCCCACGGUUAGUAGCCAGGGCGCUUUUUAAGAAUUUGUCUUGGGGCAAUCCAGAAAAAGGGACCAUACUAUACUGAGUGUGGAGAUAACAGAUGGUUGUUGGUGAGAAAAGUUUGAUGUGGUGUCAUAUGUAAUAGUAGGGGAUCCGGGGGGCAUUCUCUCCCAGAAAAGAUUUGUAUUUACCACCCUAGGAGGCUAGGACUUCAUUUUAUGCAUUUUUUAAAACAGAUUUUUGAAUAUACAGUGUUACAUUACACUGUAGAUAAACUGAAUCUUCAGUUAAGUACUUGCAUGUUAUAUUGUUUGUUAUAAUGCCUAAAUAUGCACUGAUUCACAAUAUUUAUUGGUGGACUUACUUGUUUACUAUGUUAUUUACUUCACUUUCGUCGAAUUUCAGGCCAUUUCGUUGAAUCCGCCCCAUAUUUUGUAUAUCAUCUAUUGUUAUAUAGUUAGUGUCAAAGUUCAAUUUUUCUGUUUGCCUAUUGGUCAAAACCGUGUCACGUGCCGGUCCACAAAACGUCAUGUUCGGCAACCGGUCUGCAAUGAAACAUUUAUUGACCGGUCAAUAUGAAAAUGGGUGCAAUACGCAUGCGUGUCAACCAUGAAGUUCCAAAGUUCAUUUUCUAAACUUUUUACUAAACAUUUACGGCGUUCCGUUUAUCCAGUUUUGGUUUCAAAUUAAGUUCACUCCAAUAACCGGUGAAUUAUUCAUACUUUGACACUUAUAUACUAUAUAACAAAACACUUAUUUACUGAGAGCUCGGGAAAGCAGUGUGUUUUGUGGCCCCUCGACCGCUGUUGUUGCCCUCGGCUUCGCCUCGGACAACAACGGCGGUCUCGGGUCCACAAAACAAACUGUUUCCCUCGGCCUCAGUAAAUAAGUGAUUAAAACAACUUAAUUUAAAUUAAAGUCCUUUCUCCGAACUCUUGAGUCGAUCUGCUCUGGAACCAACCGUUAAAUUUUUCGAACUUUGUAACUGCACCUCCUGUUAAAGUAUUUCUCCUCAACCCUCCUGAUCCGUUAAUUGCACGUGAUUUUAUCAAGUGAGGUUUUCUCAAAGUUCCAAAAUUUAAGUUUAAGCGUCAAAUGCAAGUCCACAAAAAACCGUUUGCAACAGUGGUUUAUCAGGUUUAGGCAAGUUGUGUUGAUUGCUAAACUUACAGUCAAAAAUAUUUGCAUACAGAUGAGUGCGUGAAUUCUGUAGUUGUCUAUAAAAUAAAACAGUUAUUCAACUUACUCUUGUCGUAUAUAACUGAUAGCGAACUCGGUGCUACUGUACGUACCUUGACUAUCAGCUCAUAUACCACGCUGACAGAAUAACUGUUAAUUUUGCCAUUGCUAAUUGCAGCAGAAUCGCUUUGGCAACCAAACACCAAUUACAUAUAUAUAAUACUAUAUAUUUCUAGAUCAAAUGCAUCAAGUAUGGACAGUUUAUCACAUAACGAAAGAAGGUGGAUUGUGGCUGGAAUUUGCCUUACAAAAGUCCUUACACCCGUGGUAAGAAACGUUCUUGAAUAUGAAAUGCAGAUCUGGUAUCACCAUUUGUGUAAACCACCAGAUGAAAUCAACAAACAAGUUUUUACAACAUUUAAGAAGAAACUACCACCUUCACGGUUUUUACUACAAUAUAAAAACAUUAACAAUAACAAUGUCCACAAAUUACCCAGUGCUUAUGACUAUGCUGUUAAGGAUCGUUUGUCUUUGGCAAAGUUAUUUGUGCAGCCUUUUAUGGCAAUGUUUACUGGUUUCAACGAAAGCAUGGAUAUGUCUGCAGUGUUGGCUGUUAUGUGUGAAGCAUACCCAUUUGUAACAUCUGGCGCUGCAGCUGAUGCAAAGACUGUAAGGUCAGACAUCAGAAACAAGUGGGCCCAUUGCAACUUCUCUGACUGGACUGUACCAACCUUCCUGGCUGCAUUGCAAGGGAUGCAGUCUCUGGCAAAGAAGAUCAAUUUGUCAUCAGCGGAUGAGAAAGCCUUGUGUGAUAGUCUAGACGACUGGAAAGAUAAAGGUAUCAAUGAGCAACUUUCAAUAAUACAAAGCAUCAUGGUAGUUUAGUUACUAGGCCGUAUUCCCUUGCCGCUUUUCGUUCAGUUUUGUUGCCCCCCUUCGGGCACUACUUUAAAUUCACAUGAAUCUAUAGGUUUUUAUACGCUGAGUACGAAUUCACUUGUUGUCACUCGCACAAACCUGCAGUUUUUUUGUAUUUUACGAUCAAACAUCAACAUUUUUUAUUAAAAUUUCCGCCAUUUUGUUCAGGAAACUUCAUGUUAUAUACCAUUAUUGUACUAGUUCAAGUCUCUUAGCAUUUUCAAUUUAAUUUUUUAUUCAUUUUCAAUUUAU
This 10677-nucleotide long non-coding RNA is filed under the name Paramuricea clavata. Lineage: Eukaryota; Metazoa; Cnidaria; Anthozoa; Malacalcyonacea; Plexauridae. The record is from RNAcentral.